Long non-coding RNA from Cydia splendana, 1233 nucleotides. RefSeq lists it as uncharacterized. The record is from RefSeq and is a predicted model, not a curated record. Lineage: Eukaryota; Metazoa; Arthropoda; Insecta; Lepidoptera; Tortricidae. The transcript is spliced from 3 exons.
AAUGUACAACCAAAUAAUGCUCAACCCAAGAAUGUACAGCCCAAUAAUUGGCGUCCAUGGUGGACGCGUAUUAUUGGGCUGUACAUUCCUGGGUUGAGCAUUCUCGGUCCGCGCAAGAUUGGUCCGGGGCGAUAAUACGAAGCCACUCUUUUCACAGGGCAAUAAUGUACGACCCCAUAAUUCGCGUCCACUAAUUUGAGUCCCUUGGCUUUCAAUUAUUGGGCUGCGCAUUAUUGGUACAGGUCGAGAAAGCCCGACCCAAUAAUGUACGACCCAAUAAUUGGAAGCCAAAAACCAGAGACAUUUUUUUUUUUAAGGGAGCUGUCAAAAUUAGUAGGGACGUUCUGACAUUAGCUCUUGACAAUUUAAAAAUAAUCGGUUUUUUCUAGUGCCAUCUUUCAGUGACAUUGACAGUAUUGACACUUGUUGGUUUACAAAUACAAUAAAUAAAUUCUAAUAAAAGAAACAGUAGACUCAGUAGAGGUACGAGGUACUGAAAAAAUAUUAAUUAAUGGAGAAGCCGAAGUUGGAGGAAAACAAGAAGAUUCGAGGAGAAUGGUGUGGCACUUAAUGCCUCCGGGACAGUAACCUAGCUGCAGCUCCAACUCUAGGGAAUUGGGCUGAAUGAACGCAACACGUGAUCGACAGCCCACCUGCUUCCUGCCGAGCGUCCCUACACUACCUCUACAUGGAUGCCUCGCUUAUUCUGCUCUACAAAACUUCUGAGCUGAUACAAGCAGCUAGAAUGAGUCUCUGCUGAGUCGCCGGCGCCGGACGUGCGUCUGACGUCUUCGUGUGAGUCGCCAAUUGCAGGGGAAGAUACGAAUAGUUAGGUAGUCGAAUAGCUACUUUAGUCAACCUUGCCUCAGUACUGUUUGUAUUGACUGAAAUACAAGUAGCAUAUAUGAGAUGUUCGGACGUAUCCGUGAAAAUACGAAGGUAAAGGAAAUUGCACUACAUUUUUAGAACCUAUUCACCUGUCAGUAAAAUAUUGAAAAGGAAAGUUCAUGAGUUUUAUAAUUUUCUUUCCUCCAACAGCUUCACAUGGAGCAAAUGUAAACCUUUUCUGUUAAUAAUAUCAGUAAUGUCAAGGUACAACGCUCUUUAGAGCAUAUUGCCAUUCCUUUUACUCGAGCGGCCUGUGGGUUAACUAUACGAAGCGAGCCUACAAUGCAUUAAAAGUGCAGUAUAACAAUGCAUUCAGAAUGCUGUUGGGCUUACCUCGUAGAUGUA